ACGGGGGGGGCAAGCGUUGUUCGGAAUCAUUGGGCGUAAAGGGUGCGUAGGUGGUGCUGUAAGUCUGACGUGAAAUCUCUGGGCUUAACCCAGAAUCCGCGCCAGGAACUGCAGUGCUCGAGUGUGGGAGAGGAGAGUGGAAUUCCCGGUGUAGCGGUGAAAUGCGUAGAUAUCGGGUAGAACACCAGUGGCGAAGGCGGCUAUCUGGACGGACACUGACGCUGAGACGCGAAAGCGUGGGGAGCAAACAGGA
RNAcentral lists this ribosomal RNA (253 nucleotides) under uncultured prokaryote. RNAcentral describes it as "partial 16S ribosomal RNA". It matches the Rfam family "Bacterial small subunit ribosomal RNA", at positions 525 to 777 of the family's 1533-position model. The record is from RNAcentral.